UUCUUGGAGAGUUUGAUCCUGGCUCAGGACGAACGCUGGCGGCGUGCCUAAUACAUGCAAGUCGAGCG
This 68-nucleotide ribosomal RNA is filed under the name Paenibacillus sp. RNAcentral's name for it is "partial 16S ribosomal RNA". It matches the Rfam family "Bacterial small subunit ribosomal RNA", at positions 1 to 68 of the family's 1533-position model. Lineage: Bacteria; Bacillati; Bacillota; Bacilli; Caryophanales; Paenibacillaceae. RNAcentral also lists the same sequence under 3 other names. The record is from RNAcentral.